RNAcentral lists this ribosomal RNA (467 nucleotides) under uncultured bacterium. RNAcentral describes it as "partial 16S ribosomal RNA". It matches the Rfam family "Bacterial small subunit ribosomal RNA", at positions 330 to 793 of the family's 1533-position model. The record is from RNAcentral.
ACCAGACUCCUACGGGAGGCAGCAGUGAGGAAUAUUGGUCAAUGGGCGGAAGCCUGAACCAGCCAAGUCGCGUGAGGGAAGAAGGCCCUGCGGGUCGCAGACCUCUUUGGACGGGGAGCAAGGCCGCCGACGUGUCGGCGGAAGGAGAGUACCCGUAGAACAAGCAUCGGCUAACUCCGUGCCAGCAGCCGCGGUAAUACGGAGGAUGCGAGCGUUAUCCGGAAUUACUGGGCGUAAAGGGCGCGUAGGCGGGAACUUAAGUUAGAUGUGAAAACUCCGGGCUCAACCUGGAGACUGCAUUUAAAACUGGGUUUCUUGAGGGCAGGAGAGGAAAGUGGAAUUCCUAGUGUAGCGGUGAAAUGCGUAGAUAUUAGGAGGAACACCAGUGGCGAAGGCGACUUUCUGGACUGUACCUGACGCUGAGGCGCGAAAGCAUGGGGAGCGAACAGGAUUAGAUACCCCGGUAG